RNAcentral lists this ribosomal RNA (301 nucleotides) under uncultured bacterium. RNAcentral describes it as "partial 16S ribosomal RNA". It matches the Rfam family "Bacterial small subunit ribosomal RNA", at positions 509 to 809 of the family's 1533-position model. The record is from RNAcentral.
CAGCCGCCGCGGUAAUACGGAGGGUGCAAGCGUUAAUCGGAAUUACUGGGCGUAAAGCGCACGCAGGCGGUCUGACAAGUCAGAUGUGAAAUCCCCGGGCUUAACCUGGGAACUGCAUUUGAAACUGUCAGGCUGGAGUCUUGUAGAGGGGGGUGGAAUUCCAGGUGUAGCGGUGAAAUGCGUAGAGAUCUGGAGGAAUACCGGUGGCGAAGGCGGCCCCCUGGACAAAGACUGACGCUCAGGUGCGAAAGCGUGGGGAGCAAACAGGAUUAGAUACCCGUGUAGUCCCUGUCUCUUAUCC